CACAAUCCGCAACCCCUGGGUCUGUGCAGUGACCAGCCAGUCCCUGAGAACUUUUCCCUCCAGCACCAGGGAAAAUGGGAUUAUUGCUCCUUGUGAUUUUCGCUGUAGCCGCUUUGGAAGGUGUCCGGUCCCAGGCGCUGGUGGAGUCCGGAGGGGAUGUGAAAAAGCCCGGAGACUCUCUCCGCCUCUCCUGCAAAGCCUCCGGGUUCACCUUCAGCAGCUACAAUAUGAACUGGGUCCGACAGGCUCCCGGGAAGGGGCUAGAAUGGGUCGCAUUUAUUUACUAUGAUGGGUCGGGUCCAAGCUACGCUGAUGCAGUGAAAGGCCGAUUCACCAUCUCCCGGGAUAAUCCCAAGAGUGAGCUGUAUCUGCAAAUGACCGGCCUGAAGCCCGAGGACAGCGCCCGCUAUUACUGUGCGGGACACAGUGACACGAAACCGGUUUGUGAUCAUACAAAAACCCAGGCGGCGGAAUCGCGCUUCUCCCGGCAGCCGCGCGGGGGCAGCAGUGACACACACACCGCUCCGGGCUGGGACAGGAGACCCUGCACCCGGGUGAAUGUAACACAAACCUCCCGGCAUCUUUAA
Non-coding RNA from Mauremys reevesii (Reeves's turtle), 587 nucleotides. NCBI's taxonomy places the organism in Eukaryota, Metazoa, Chordata, Testudines, Geoemydidae. The record is from the annotation of a RefSeq genome assembly.